Molecule: ribosomal RNA, 468 nt
Filed under: uncultured bacterium
Lineage: Bacteria
Description: partial 16S ribosomal RNA
Rfam family: Bacterial small subunit ribosomal RNA
Source: RNAcentral
GACGAACGCUGGCGGCGUGCUUAACACAUGCAAGUCGAACGGAAAGGCCCUUCUUUUGUGGGGUGCUCGAGUGGCGAACGGGUGAGUAACACGUGAGUAACCUGCCCUUGACUUUGGGAUAACUUCAGGAAACUGGGGCUAAUACCGGAUAGGAGCUCCUGCUGCAGGGUGGGGGUUGGAAAGUUUCGGCGGUUGGGGAUGGACUCGCGGCUUAUCAGCUUGUUGGUGGGGUAGUGGCUUACCAAGGCUUUGACGGGUAGCCGGACUGAGAGGGUGACCGGCCACAUUGCGACUGUAAUACGGCCCAGACUCCUACGUGACACAGCAGUGGGGAAUAUUGUACAAUGGGCGCAAGCCUGUUGCAGCAACGCCGCGUGCGGGAUGACGGCCUUCGGGUUGUAUUCCGUUUUCGCCUGUGGCGAUACGUGAGUGACGGUAAUGUGUCAAGAAGCACCGGCUAACUACGUG